This 508-nucleotide ribosomal RNA is filed under the name uncultured bacterium. RNAcentral describes it as "partial 16S ribosomal RNA". It matches the Rfam family "Bacterial small subunit ribosomal RNA", at positions 30 to 523 of the family's 1533-position model. The record is from RNAcentral.
AUUGAACGCUGGCGGCAUGCCUAACACAUGCAAGUCGAACGGCAGCACGACCUAGCUUGCUAGGUUGGUGGCGAGUGGCGCACGGGUGAGUAAUGCGUAGGAAUAUACCUUAAAGUGAGGGACAACCUGGGGAAACUCAGGCUAAUACCGCAUGAGCCCUAAGGAGGAAAGCUGGGGAGCUUUCGGGGCCUGGCGCUGUAAGAAUAGGUUACGUCCGAUUAGUUAGUUGGUGGGGUAAAGGCUUACCAAGACGAUGAUCGGUAGCUGGUCUGAGAGGAUGAUCAGCCACACUGGGACUGAGACACGGCCCAGACUCCUACGGGAGGCAGCAGUGGGGAAUAUUGGACAAUGGGGGAAACCCUGAUCCAGCGAUGCCGCGUGUGUGAAGAAGGCCUGCGGGUUGUAAAGCACUUUCGGUGGGGAGGAGGACUUAUAGGUUAAGAGCUAAUGAGUUGGACGUUACCCACAUAAGAAGCACCGGCUAACUCCGUGCCAGCCGCCGCGGUAA